This 81-nucleotide transfer RNA is filed under the name Serratia phage vB_SmaM-Kamaji. RNAcentral describes it as "tRNA-Ala". Lineage: Duplodnaviria; Heunggongvirae; Uroviricota; Caudoviricetes; Demerecviridae. The record is from RNAcentral.
GGGGUCAGGGACUGCUAUGGAGUGGUCAUCUCGCUUGCACCGAGAACAUCAGCCGGGUUCGAAUCCUCGGUGACUCCACCA